AGGACGAACGCUGGCGGCGUGCUUAACACAUGCAAGUCGAGCGAGGCCCCUCCUUCGGGAGGGUGUCCUAGCGGCGAACGGGUGAGUAACACGUGGGCAACCUGCCCUCAGCUCUGGGAUAACCCCGGGAAACCGGGGCUAAUACCGGAUACGACCUCCUUAGGCAUCUGAGGUGGUGAAAAGUUUUUCGGCUGAGGAUGGGCCCGCGGCCUAUCAGCUUGUUGGUGGGGUGAUGGCCUACCAAGGCGACGACGGGUAGCCGGCCUGAGAGGGUGACCGGCCACACUGGGACUGAGACACGGCCCAGACUCCUACGGGAGGCAGCAGUGGGGAAUAUUGCGCAAUGGGCGAAAGCCUGACGCAGCGACGCCGCGUGAGGGACGAAGGCCUUCGGGUUGUAAACCUCUUUCAGCAGGGACGAAGCGAAAGUGACGGUACCUGCAGAAGAAGCGCCGGCUAACUACGCGCCAGCAGCCGC
RNAcentral lists this ribosomal RNA (478 nucleotides) under uncultured bacterium. RNAcentral describes it as "SSU rRNA". It matches the Rfam family "Bacterial small subunit ribosomal RNA", at positions 26 to 518 of the family's 1533-position model. The record is from RNAcentral.